Molecule: ribosomal RNA, 253 nt
Filed under: uncultured bacterium
Lineage: Bacteria
Description: partial 16S ribosomal RNA
Rfam family: Bacterial small subunit ribosomal RNA
Source: RNAcentral
UACGGGGGGGGCAAGCGUUGUUCGGAAUUACUGGGCGUAAAGGGCUCGUAGGCGGCCUGCUAAGUCGAACGUGAAAUCCCUGGGCUCAACCCAGGAACUGCGUCCGAUACUGGUUGGCUUGAAUCCGGGAGAGGGACGUGGAAUUCCAGGUGUAGCGGUGAAAUGCGUAGAUAUCUGGAGGAACACCGGUGGCGAAGGCAGAUCUCUGGGCCGUAACUGACGCUGAGGAGCGAAAGCGUGGGGAGCGAACAGG